This is a non-coding RNA of Hippoglossus stenolepis (Pacific halibut), 666 nucleotides long. NCBI's taxonomy places the organism in Eukaryota, Metazoa, Chordata, Actinopteri, Pleuronectiformes, Pleuronectidae. The record is from the annotation of a RefSeq genome assembly.
GUUUGUGUCCCACGUCACCUUCAGUCCGCUCAGAGCAGAGGAAUCAUUUCCAUAGAGAGGAGGCUUUGCAUCGUCAGCUGAUCCUCCACUGAACUGAGAAGCUUUAUAGUCCUGUGACUCCAACUCUGCAGGACUCAGACCCGUCAGUCGACCACAACCACCAUGACUCUCAUCACCCUCCUCAUCUGGACGCUGGCCUGCUGCAGCUUCACAGGAUGCAGCGGCCAGAUGACUGUGACUCAGCCUCCAGUCGUGACAUUUACUCCAGGAUCCACUGUCACACUGACCUGUAAAACCAACCCCAGUGUUGCUAACAAUAAUUAUAUGUCCUGGUACCAGCAGAAACCUGGACAGGCUCCCAAGCUUCUUAUAUACUAUACAUCAACUCUUAAUUCAGGAACUCCCUCUCGAUUCAGUGGCAGUGGAAGCAGCUCUGACUUCUCUUUGACCAUCAGUGGAAUUCAGAGUGAAGAUGUUGGAGAUUAUUACUGUCUCGUCUAUCAUGGUGGACAGUUCACACAGUGAUUUAGAGCCGUACAAAAACCUCCCUCAGUCUGACUGAAGUGAAACUGGUCUGCUGCAGCUGCACAGAGAAUAACUGGUCCAGUGAACACAACACAAGUCUUCAAGCAAAGGAAUCGAAACACAACUGAAACAAACCCCACA